Molecule: long non-coding RNA, 1000 nt
Organism: Oreochromis niloticus (Nile tilapia)
Lineage: Eukaryota; Metazoa; Chordata; Actinopteri; Cichliformes; Cichlidae
Exons: 3
Source: RefSeq, a predicted model, not a curated record
UGUUCGGUUUUUCUCUUUAUUUAUUAUUGUGCUAUCUACUGUACAAUAUAAAGCGCCUUGAGGCGACUUUUGUUGUGAUUUGGCGCUAUAUAAAUAAAAUUGAAUUGAAUUGAAUACAAUCAUGGACACAGUCCAUCAGGACUUUUGACUGAGAGUGGACGUUUUAUCACCAAAACUAGAGGAAUUUAUUAUUUAACGAAGUUGGUGUUUUAAAGGUCUGAGUCUCGUUUUGUGCAGGGUGUGGGAAUGGAACUGAGACGUGCAUAAAAUUAACUUUUUAUGUGCACCUUGGCACAUUACUGGGAUUCCAGGACUCCAGUCUCAGCCACAAAUGCAUGCAGUCCAUGGGGACACAAGAGUCACCGCUUUUUUUAAGCACAUUUUAAUCAGUGGAGUCAGUACUGCGUAAAAACAGUGGAGGAGAAUUCCACAACCGUGGUGCCACUGCCUAAAAGGCCCGAUCACCACGAGUUUCAAUCAAGUGCAUGGGGCCACCAGCAGUCUCUGACCUGAUGACCUUAGAGCUCAGGAAGAUGAAUGCGGUUUCAGCAGGUCAGAUUUAUACUGGGGAGGUACCAGCAAGCUGCACAAGCAGCGAAGCUGAACACAGGCGCCAUCUUGCCAGGAUACAACUAUACCAGCUGUGAAACAGAUUCUCUUGGAAACACUGAGAGGUUUGAGUGAAAAGGAUCAGAAGAAAUUCAGUCACUUCCUGCAGUUAACCUACUUCCAGAAGGGCCUCCCACAGUUCCCACCUGGAGUAUUUACACACAAUCAUGAGUUAGUGGAUCUGAUGGUGCAGUUCUACAGCGAACAAUCUGUGGAGCUGACCAAGGAGGUUCUGAUGGACAUGAACAGCACUGACACGGUGAAGACUACCACUCAAUCUAAGACAAACAACUCUAAAAUUACACAGCACUGUUUCUCUCAUAAAUGUCUCGUGAAAGGAUUGUUUUAAACAAUUAAUUUAUUGAUUGACAAUAAAAAAUAUAAAAAGAAA